RNAcentral lists this ribosomal RNA (488 nucleotides) under uncultured bacterium. Its description in RNAcentral is "partial 16S ribosomal RNA". It matches the Rfam family "Bacterial small subunit ribosomal RNA", at positions 30 to 507 of the family's 1533-position model. The record is from RNAcentral.
UGAACGCUGGCGGCAGGCCUACCACAUGCAAGUCGAACGGUAACAGGCAGCAGCUUGCUGCUUUGCUGACGAGUGGCGGACGGGUGAGUAAUGUCUGGGAAACUGCCCGAUGGAGGGGGAUAACUACUGGAAACGGUAGCUAAUACCGCAUAACGUCGCAAGACCAAAGAGGGGGACCUUAGGGCCUCUUGCCAUCGGAUGUGCCCAGAUGGGAUUAGCUAGUAGGUGGGGUAACGGCUCACCUAGGCGACGAUCCCUAGCUGGUCUGAGAGGAUGACCAGCCACACUGGAACUGAGACACGGUCCAGACUCCUACGGGAGGCAGCAGUGGGGAAUAUUGCACAAUGGGCGCAAGCCUGAUGCAGCCAUGCCGCGUGUAUGAAGAAGGCCUUCGGGUUGUAAAGUACUUUCAGCGGGGAGGAAGGGAGUAAAGUUAAUACCUUUGCUCAUUGACGUUACCCGCAGAAGAAGCACCGGCUAACUCCGUG